AUUGAACGCUGGCGGCAGGCCUAACACAUGCAAGUCGAACGAGUGGCGGACGGGUGAGUAAUACCUGGGAAACUGCUCUAUGGAGGGGGAUAACUACUGGAAACUGUAGCUAAUACCGCAUACCAUCAGAUGUGCCCAUCUCGGAUUAGCUUGUUGGAGGGGUAACGGCUCACCAAGGCGACGAUCCGUAGCUGGUCUGAGAGGAUGACCAGCCACAAUGGAACUGAGACACGGUCCAGACUCCUACGGGAGGCAGCAGUGGGGAAUAGUGCACAAUGGGCGCAAGCCUGAUCCAGCCAUGCCGCGUGUAUGAAGAAGGCCUUCGGGUUGUAAAGCCCUUUUGUUGGGGAGGCGUUACCCGCAGAAGAAGCACCGGCUAACUUCGUGCCAGCCGCCGCGGUAAUUC
This 406-nucleotide ribosomal RNA is filed under the name uncultured bacterium. RNAcentral describes it as "partial 16S ribosomal RNA". It matches the Rfam family "Bacterial small subunit ribosomal RNA", at positions 30 to 526 of the family's 1533-position model. The record is from RNAcentral.